RNAcentral lists this ribosomal RNA (253 nucleotides) under uncultured bacterium. RNAcentral describes it as "partial 16S ribosomal RNA". It matches the Rfam family "Bacterial small subunit ribosomal RNA", at positions 524 to 776 of the family's 1533-position model. The record is from RNAcentral.
UACGUAGGUGGCAAGCGUUGUCCGGAUUUACUGGGCGUAAAGAGCGCGCAGGCGGUCGGGUAAGUCGAAUGUGAAAGCCCCCGGCUCAACUGGGGAGGGUCAUUCGAUACUGUUCGACUCGAAGGCAGGAGAGGGAAGUGGAAUUCCCGGUGUAGUGGUGAAAUGCGUAGAUAUCGGGAGGAACACCAGUGGCGAAGGCGACUUCCUGGCCUGUUCUUGACGCUGAGGCGCGAAAGCUAGGGUAGCAAACGGG